GCGGCGGACGGGUGAGUAACGCGUAGGAAUCUACCUAGUAGAAGGGGAUAGCCCGAGGAAACUCGGAUUAAUACCGUAUACCUCCUUCGGGAGAAAGAAGGCCUCUCUUUGAAGCUUUCGCUACUAGAUGAGCCUGCGUAAGAUUAGCUUGUUGGUGAGGUAAAGGCUCACCAAGGCUACGAUCUUUAGCGGGUCUGAGAGGACGAUCCGCCACAUUGGGACUGAGACACGGCCCAGACUCCUACGGGAGGCAGCAGUGGGGAAUAUUGGACAAUGGGCGAAAGCCUGAUCCAGCCAUACCGCGUGUGUGAAGAAGGCCCUAGGGUUGUAAAGCACUUUAAGUUGGGAAGAAAAGUUAUUGGUUAAUACCCAAUGGCCGUGACAUUACCAUCAGAAUAAGGACCGGCUAAUUCCGUGCCAGCAGCCGCGGUAAUACGGAAGGUCCAAGCGUUAAUCGGAAUUACUGGGCGUAAAGCGCGCGUAGGUGGUUUAUUAAGUUGGGUGUGAAAUCCCCGGGCUCAACCUGGGAACUGCAUCCAAAACUGAUUCACUAGAGUACGAUAGAGGGAGGUAGAAUUCACAGUGUAGCGGUGGAAUGCGUAGAUAUUGUGAAGAAUACCAAUGGCGAAGGCAGCCUCCUGGAUCUGUACUGACACUGAGGUGCGAAAGCGUGGGUAGCGAACAGGAUUAGAUACCCUGGU
RNAcentral lists this ribosomal RNA (701 nucleotides) under uncultured bacterium. RNAcentral describes it as "bacterial SSU rRNA". It matches the Rfam family "Bacterial small subunit ribosomal RNA", at positions 95 to 791 of the family's 1533-position model. The record is from RNAcentral.